UGCUUCCUUAAUUGCCCUCAUCACCCUCGUUCAAAAUCAUGCUUCCUCUCCAUCGUUUUUUGACCUCAAAAUACAAAAUCAAGAAACCCUUAAACCCUCGUUAAAAAAAAAAAAGAAGAGGAAGAAGCCUUAUCCACCCAAAUCCAUUAGUUUCAGUCUUGGUUUAGAAUCAAAUACAGAGCUCUUUCUGUCUAAGCCUCGCGUUUAAUUUGGCCUUCUUUGAUUCUUUGAUUUGUGGGUUUUCUUUUUAUUCCCUUGCUUUGGUUUGAUUUUUAUACUUAUUUAUUAUUUUACAAGAGUUAGUUUGUGUCUAUCUAUGGAUUUCGUUAAAUUUUUGUUUGGACAUUGCCUUAUUAUUGUCACGAUCCAAUUCUGGGUUCUUUUUCUUCUUUGUCGGUUGCCAGUGUUUGAGGUCGACUCUUUUGCAUAAUUAAAUUUCAAAUUGCAAGGAAAGUGAUAUAAGGUAACCCCAUAAUCUUUUAUUUUAUUUUUUACAGUUCCUCUUGUUUGUUAAUUUUUUUUUUGGUGCCAAAAACAUAUAGAUUUGAUAACUUAAGAGUUCAGUGCAAUAUUUCAAAGCAUAUUUGCUUUUGGUUUGAACUCCUCCAGAAAAGUUGUUGUGCUUUGUCUUUUGUUUAGUGACUUGGCAAGGCCUUUGAAAUUGGGCAGGUUUUGGACUUUUUUUUGUCUAUAUAUAUAUAUUUUCAUUUAUUUACCACUAUUAUAUAGUGAUCAUCUGGAUUUCUAGUUCCAUUUACAGCACUACUUAUUUGCAUUUCUUGUCUAUUAAUCAAGUUUCUAUGUGCAAAUUCGUUUUCUUUGGACAUUGCCUUAUAGCUGCAUGUUCAGCUUCUUCUGUUUGGUUGACGGCAGCAAUUUUCGCUUCUAAGGAUGCAUCACAGUCCUGACGAACCUUCCUCAAUUCUUGUUUAGCUGCAUCAAGUUCAGUAAUUACAGUCACGUAUUUUUCCCUUGCAGUUUCCAAGUCCUAGCUCCUAGCUCCAUCAGGUCCUAGAAGAAUACCAGAAUUCGCUUCUUCAAUCUGCUUAGCCUUUUCCUUGCAUCUUCUGUAGCCUUGAUUGCGCAAUCCUUCGACUCGUUAACAGUUUUUGAGUUUGUGUGAGACUUCCUCGGCGGUUUUUUAGCCCUUUCUAGCUGUACGAGUGCUUGAGCUUUAGUUGUCUCCGCUUUUGCUACCUGCUCCUUUAACUUGUUCAACUUCAUUUGAGUAAGGUGAAGGUUGUAGUUUGUAAUUGCACUGCUUUAUAGUUAUGAUUGGUGAUACAUCUUGGGACUUCUAGUGUUGUAACCUUUCUUUUUCUAUAUGGUGAAAGACUGUAUCUCUUUUUCUGCUCAUUGUGUUGAAAUGUUGUAAUCAAUGGCGGUGGUAAUACAAAAACUAUAGUUUACUCUUAAUUUAUAUUUUUUAUUUUUCCAU
RNAcentral lists this long non-coding RNA (1438 nucleotides) under Gossypium barbadense (sea-island cotton). Its description in RNAcentral is "long non-coding RNA (GBAR_LNC011528)". The record is from RNAcentral. Lineage: Eukaryota; Viridiplantae; Streptophyta; Magnoliopsida; Malvales; Malvaceae.